RNAcentral lists this non-coding RNA (27 nucleotides) under Rattus norvegicus (Norway rat). The record is from RNAcentral. Lineage: Eukaryota; Metazoa; Chordata; Mammalia; Rodentia; Muridae.
UAGGAAACAUUUCACCACUGUGUAGAU